CCUACGGGAGGCAGCAGUGAGGAAUAUUGGUCAAUGGACGCAAGUCUGAACCAGCCAUGCCGCGUGCAGGAAGACGGCUCUAUGAGUUGUAAACUGCUUUUGUACGAGGGUAAACGCAGAUACGCGUAUCUGUCUGAAAGUAUCGUACGAAUAAGGAUCGGCUAACUCCGUGCCAGCAGCCGCGGUAAUACGGAGGAUUCAAGCGUUAUCCGGAUUUAUUGGGUUUAAAGGGUGCGUAGGCGGUCGGAUAAGUUAGAGGUGAAAUCCCGAGGCUCAACUUCGGAAUUGCCUUUGAUACUGGUAGGCUAGAGAGUAGUUGCGGUAGGCGGAAGGUAUGGUGUAGCGGUGAAAUGCUUAGAGAUCAUACAGAACACCGAUUGCGAAGGCAGCUUACCAAGCUACUUCUGACGUUGAGGCACGAAAGCGUGGGGAGCAAACAGGAUUAGAUACCCCGGUAGUC
This 460-nucleotide ribosomal RNA is filed under the name uncultured bacterium. RNAcentral describes it as "partial 16S ribosomal RNA". It matches the Rfam family "Bacterial small subunit ribosomal RNA", at positions 338 to 795 of the family's 1533-position model. The record is from RNAcentral.